This 27174-nucleotide long non-coding RNA is filed under the name Capsicum annuum. RNAcentral describes it as "long non-coding RNA (CANN_LNC008374)". Lineage: Eukaryota; Viridiplantae; Streptophyta; Magnoliopsida; Solanales; Solanaceae. The record is from RNAcentral.
GCAAAUGUGCACGGGUUUUAUCAAGCUGAUUUGUUUUUUCUUAACAUAAACUCUCCAAUAAAUUUAACUUUAAAAAGAAAAUUAAAAAAAUAAUUAAAAUACGAAGUGAUAACUUCCUGUUGAUAGUGAAUUUUCUUAUCCUAUCAACAUUGAAUCUCUAGCACCACAAAGUGUUUCUAUAUUUAACAAAAAAAGUUAUCUGACGUGGACGUCCUAUAACAUGGACAAAAAUAAGGAAGCACACUCCAACAUCUUCCAAGUUCUCUGAUGGCUCUUUGCUUAUAUGGACGUUUUCUCUUCCAGACUUCAAUCAAAUUUUCCUGAACAUCAGUUAGUACUCAUGUGUAAUAAAAAUAAUGUAGAAAUCAAAAUUAAUAUCAAUACUUGUCAUAUAUUAAACCUCGUUGCACCUCAACAGGUGUGAUAUAGACAUUCUAUCCUAACAUAAUUUUUAGUUACUGCUUCCACUAAUAUGAUGCCUGAGAAGUAAAUAAAGCAAUAAAAGAGACUAUUUAAAGUUUUCUUGUCGAGGAUGAUGGAAUUCGAACACAAAUCCUAAUCAAAUGCUCCUGCAAAGAAAAAAAACACAAUUAGAAUUUCAUGAACAUAGAACUGUAACAUAUCAUUGCUCACAUAGAUUUUUUAUUAGAGGUAAUAUUUGGAGAUUAAUAGGAUUGAAAAAUAAAAUCAAAACCCACGUACAAAAUUAAAUCUAGAGCAAUCCAAGUUCAACUAAGAAAAAAGAGCUUAAAAAAUAGCACCCUAUGAUAAGAAUAAUAUAUAUAUAUAUAUAUAUAUAUAUAUAUAUAUAUAUGAUGUGUAAGUCAGCUACCCCUAAUUAUAGAAGAUUUACCUCUAAAAUAUUGAAAAACAUAUGGGGAUUCAAAGAAAAAAGGACUUCUACGUGAAAGGCAGACCAAAAUUAGUCAGUGAAGAAAACUGCUACUACAUGGGAAAAAGUUCAAAAAUUUAGAAUCUACAUUAUUAGGGUUUUAUAUAGUAAUUGAAUAAUAAUUAGAGGAAGAUAGUGAAAAAACGAUUUUGUCUAUUGCGGAUUCUUUUAAUGAAGGACAAAAAGUUCAAACAACAUUUCUAAGGUACUUCACACUUUUAAUAUAUUAUAGAUAUAGAUAUAGAUAUAGAUUAUAGAUAUAGAUAUAGAUUAUAAAUAUAGAUAGAUAUAGAUUAUAGAUAUAGAUAUAAAUAUAGAUAUAUGACAUCUGAGAGAAACAUUAUUUUAUGAAGAAAAAGUUAAGUUUUAGUCAAAAUAAAAGCAAUAUUUUUGAAAAAGUGGAACUUUUUUUAGAAAAUGCCAAAUUGAGACAAGUAUAGGAUUAAUUAUAUACACUUGGAUUUUUCAUGUGAAUUAUUUUGAAAUUGGAAAAAGUUACUUUAACCUAAAUAAAUCACUAGUCACAUGAAUAAACAUAAGUGUCUUUUUUAUUUGAAACAUUUAUUCUAAUGGGGAAACAUUAAGAAACUUACUUUUAUUAACCAAAGAUUAAGAAAGAAAAAUAUAAAGAUAAAACAAGAAAGAUAAUUCAAAAGAGAAUUUAUUUCGAUUUAAACAAAUUUAAGACUUAGCUACAUAAAAAUAUUCAAAUAUGAAUUACAAACUAAUAAAUAAAAAGAGAAAGGUUGAGAAAAACGAGCUUUAAACACAUUUGGACUUGCACAACUUUAAUCCUUAAUUUUUCAGUCCAUUUUUUUUUGCCCCUUUUGAUAUCAAAGUAUAUUAGCUUCCUUUUUGUAGCAUUUAGCUACACAUUUUUUAAACUUUGAUUUUUUUCCAUUUUUAGGCCUUGAUGUUUGACUCAAUGCUAUUGGUCUAAUAUCUCAAGUUUUCAAGAUCUAAGCUUGUCAAAGGAUAUAGGCCAUUAAAUUAGUUUUUCCAAUGCCACAAGUUUCUCCUUAAUCCGAUGUCGUGGAAAAAAGUUAGAUAAAUUAUCCCCAAGAGUUUGUCAGGAUGCCAGUGGUAAUGAUUUAGGCAACGAUUCAUUACCAGUCGUAACCUAGACUCGUUAUCAUGGAAGUGAUUGACCUAGAGAUUCUACUCAGUGGUAACGAGUCCAUCACAUGACUCGUUAUCAUACGUAACAAUUAGUCUUGUGGACUCGUAGCCACACUAGUGAGGACCCCCAUAUUUCCUUCCAGGGAUACCGAUUCUACCUCACGACUCGUUAUCAGUAACAAUGAGGCAUAGGGUGGACCCAUUACCUUAACAGAGAGGACCCCAGAAAGUGGGUCUCAGACCAUGACUAAUUCUAAUAACUCGUGGCCAGACCUAACGAGUCGCUAGGAGGGGGAGUCGUUACUUUAUCAAUAAAGGCUCAGAACCCAUGAUCUUAGGUCAUGACUCAGACCACGACUCAUGACCAGUGUGUAUAAUUCAUUGGGUGAGCUGUGACGACUGGGACCAAAAUUCCUACAUAAUUUUAUCAAGGGUUUUUUGGUAAAUUUCAUCUCUUUUAACCAGAAACUCAUAAUGUUUAAUCCUUCAAAACAUCUGUUAUCAGGGUAAACAUUAUCAAUACCUCUCAAAACUCAAAAAUCAUUCAACACACAGCAAAAGAACCAAUUUUUUCUCUCAAAAGUUGAACUAGGGUUCAUCAAGCAAGUUCAAAUUUCAAGAAGAUUUAUUCUAGGGGUUUGCUUUUUGGUAUGUGGGAUUUAAUCAAUAGGUCCCAUUGACCCAUUGAGUCCUAAGAAUUUUUCCAUUCUUAAGUAAAAUAUUCUUUUCCCUUCUUUUUGGGUUCCAGGUCAAAUAUGGGUUUUGUUCAACUCUUUUAAUUUAUUUUGUGUAUAAAUGAUGAAUACAUGUUUCCCAUAAGAUUUGUGUCUCCAUAUGUCCAAGAAUUAUAAACCUCCAUAUCACGAUUUGUUAUUGAAAUAUUAAGCCUUAGUUAUGACAUUCUCUACCAUGAUCAUCUUUUAAUAUUAUUAUGUUCUAUUGUAUUAGUCAUUGUUGGUGUGUUAUGAACACCCAAUACCUAGGAUCUUAAAACAUGAAUUAGUUUACAUGUUCAUGAUUACUUCAUAUCAUGCACUCAUUGUUAUUUUUAGAAUUCCAUGGUUUGAGCAUGUUAGUAUCAGUCAUGUUUUAGUUAUACUUUAGUGUCAUCCAGUUAGGAGUAAUACUUAGAACUAAGUGAAUGCAGGGAUGACGACGUCCCCAUCAGUUAGACAGAGACCAUUAGUAGUAGUCCCUAAGUUCUAGAACUGACACCAUUGUAGGUUAUAAGGGGUCACCCGUCAACUUAGGCUUGACACCCUAGUCCUUAGGAGCAUCAGUGUAGUGGAUCCAAACCAGCCAAUAUUGGUACCCUUGGCAAGGUACUAGCACUCUUCCAACUAGGGUUACAGGUUGGACCCUAAUUAGCUCAGAUUUAGGUUAUAGGUUGGACCCUUCCAAUUCAAAUUUUGUUUAGUUCAAGUUGGCAAGACCAAAUGUACAGUAUUUGGUCAUUCAGUUAUUUAGAUACCCAAUAUAUAUUUGUACUUGGUCUUGCAUUUGAUUUUCAUGUUCAUGCAUUCAUGCUUAGUAAAUAUGUAUAUUGGCUAGUUCUUUUUAUCUCACAUACUCUGUACAUUUAAAGUACUGAUCACGUACUUCUUUGCACUAUAUUAUCUCAUAAUAUAGGUUUGGAUGCUCAAUAUCCGAACCAUCCUUAGUGCAUUCACAGGCCACUCAUCUGCAGCCUUGGUGAGUCCUCAUCAAUCGAGGACUAGUUAUUUUAUCAGUUAUUCAUUUUAGUAUUUCUCUUCUUCAGUUAGUUAGAGUUAGUUGGCGGGACUGUCCCAACAACUCAUCAGGUUUAGAGGCUUUCAAACAGUUAGGCAGAUAGACAUGUUUCUUUUCAGUUUCAUUGAGUAUCUUCAGACAAUAUUUAUCUUGAUUUUAUGAUUAUUCCUUAUUAGUUUACUUUAGUUAGCUUUCGCUCAGUAUUUUGUUACAUCCCUCUAAUAUUUAUUUCUUAUGCAUGGCUAUGGGUUGGCUUGGGUCACUUGUGACUCUAAGCACCGUGUUACGACUAGGGGCAGUCUUGGAUCAUGAAAAACUUGCUAUCAGAGCAUAAGGUUUAAAGUGUCCUAGGGUAUCUGAAAGUCACGUUAAGUAGAGUAUAGUUGAUGGGUGUGAAACGCGCCACACUUAUGGGCGAUAGGCUAUAAAAUAUUUUAGAAAAGUCUUACUUCUUUAAUUAUUCAUGUCGUACAAUGGAGUGCAAGCUCUGUUAAAAUUUUUCAUCUAACUCAACCUCUACCCAUUUAUAGAAAAUGCCUCCUAGAAGGGCUAACAGAAGAAGGAAUGAGAACCAGCUAACAAUACUGCCUAUUCUCGAAGAACCACUGAAUGAGCAGGUCUAUCAUGCUGAAUUUAGGGCUGCUUUCAGAAUAACUAGCAGGUUGUUUCCCCAGCCAACCCAGUGGUGAGUAUGAAAACUGCGAGAAUCUGAGAUUUCACUUGGAUAAAUUGAUGUGUGAGCCCAUGCUAACACAUUUGAAGCUUUUAACUCUAAAUAAUUGCAAAGUCUUAAGAAACUUUAGUCGUUUUUGAUUAGUUUACGUUGGUUUUGCAGUAAAAGUAGAGAAGAAGGAGAACCAUAAAUAAAGGAAGCAAAAAGUAUGAAAUCAAAAGCAAAUGAAGAGCUAAGUGUAGUUGACGACAUCCAUGACACAUCGCCAGCCUGGUGAUAGGCUGUCAAAGAUGCCGUUAAACUUAAACAGAAAAGGAGAGUUACAGGAAGUUUUGUGAUUACCUUCAUGACACGCCAUCAAGCUCCUGAUAGGCCAUCACUAUCGUCGUCAACCUUAGGCAGCAGAAGCUGAAUUUGCAGAGAAGCUGACGAUGUCGAUGACAGGCCGUCAAAAUCAUAAUAGGCCGUCACAACCGUCGUCAUCUAUUCCGAAGAACAUCUACAACUUUAAUUUUAUUUCCUUAUUUAGGGUUAACUAUUUAAAUCCUUGUUUUAGGGUUUUUCUAUUAUCCAUCAAUUAAUUGAUAUAUCCUAUAACAUACGACUUUUUCUUCUCUCUCUCUCUCUCUCAAAGAUAAAUAUUUUGGUGGUUUGCCUUGUGAUUCAAUUGAAAGAACACUUUUGAUUUCCUUCAUUACUAUAAGUUAAUCCUUUCAAUCAUAAAUUCAACUUGUGUGCUUAUUUCCUGCAUCAUGAGUAGCUAAACACUCUUAACCUGGGUUAUGGAAUCUAGGGUUAGGUCAUGAUAAGGUGUUGAUUAAUUACUCAAGGUUUAAUAGGUGUUAGGAUUUCUUGGUAAUUCUUAUAUUCUAACUUAUUUCUAUUGGUUGCAAACAAUAGGCAUACCUACUUUGGUUUGCUUGAGAAAGAAAUCAUAAACAGUAGGAAGUGAAUGAUCGAUAGGGACUCGAAAAGGCUUCAUUUAAUAAUCAACGCUGUAACAAGGUUGAUUAACCUGAGAUAAAAUCUAGGCAGUGAGUUGCAAUUCCCUAAGUCUAAGAGGAUUAAGAAAUUAGAUGCUUGAAUAGCCCAAGAGACAAUCAAGCAUACUAUCGAUAGAGAUAGCUUGUUAUCCUAACCACCAUGAGAACCUUGAGUUAUUUGUAGCAUCUAUCAUAUACCAUAAACCCUAGUGAACAUAAUCCUGGUUAUUUCAUAAAAUAUUGAUUGCAAACAUUAGCCUCAAAGUGACUAACAAUUGUCUGAGAAAUUUAAACCCCUAUUUCAGGAAACAGUAAACUACCAGUGAAUUAUUUCGUAAACAACUUGAGUUCACACCCUAUUCCCUAUGAGAUUCGAUCCCAACCUAGUUGGACUUUAUAUUGACAAUGAUCGGUUACACCCGUUCAAGAGUGUAGUUUGAGCAUUAUAAAAAAUGGCACCGUUGCCGAGGAAUACGAUUGUAAACUGAAAGUUUGUGUACGCUAAUUUACUGUUAGUUAAGUUUUCUAGAUUUAUGUUUAUUUGUUGUUAUUGUCUAUUAUAGGUACUAUGUUGUUUAUGCCAAAAACAAGAAGUGCCAGAGAAAUGUUAUUGCCAAUCAAUCCAGAACCUCAACUGAUAGGGAAAAUGGCUAAACAAUAGAAGGCAGAUAGACUAAUCGCUUUUACCAGGGCUCAGGUGAACGUACAGAAUUUGGGUCAACAAGCACGUCACCAAAACCCUGAUGACGAAGACUUGAGUGAUAAGGAAUUUCUAAAUCCUCAAAACCCAAGGUAAGCUGAGCAACUUACUGAACCAGUGCAGCGAAAUGUUAAUAGAAACUGUCCAAUCCGAGGAAGGUAUGGAUAAUAGCCCGUUCAAUAUGAGGCUAAUAAAGAUGUUGAAGGAAUAGACGGACCUGGUGCAACGGGUGCUAUUAUUCCUCCACCAUUGGCACCAGGUGCAAAAUUCAGCAUAACAAGUACCAUGAUCCAACUCCCGAAUCUGAAGGGGUUGUUUGGAGGCUUACCUGGUGACGACCUGAACAUGUAUUUGGUGAACUUCAUCACUAUUUUAAAAUCUUUUGACAAUCCGAGAGUGAGCCAGAAUGCAAUCCGAUUGAGAUUAUUCCCUUUGUCUCUGUCUGGAGAGGUAACAAUGUGGUUAAAUAAGCUAUAUCUUGAUUCUAUAACCAACUAGAGACAUUUGAAAGAGGUGUUCCUAGAACGGUUCUUUCCACCCUCUAGAAGGGUACAGUUGAGGGACGAAAUCAAUAACUUCAAAUAACUCCCAACUAAAGCAUUGCACAUAACCUGGGAGAGUUUUAAGAAGAUAUUUGCACAAUGUCCAAACCACAACACGACAGACUUGCACUUGAAGGAGACUUUGUACAGAGCUUUCAACUCUGUGACAAAGCCAAUUGUAGACAACGCUGUAGGUGGUUCGUUCAUUGAUCUCUCUUUCCUUGAUACUUCUGACAUGCUGAAUAAAAUAACCAAGAAGAAUCGGGCUUGGCACACUAGGGAUUAUGUAGUGGCUAGCUUGACUGUUGCCGGUGGUGUAAAUACAGAGCAGCGUAGAAGGGAUGAGGAGUGAGACCAGGACAUGGACUACUUAAAGACACAAAUGGACUUGCUGACCAAGCAAUUGCUAUCAGGCAAGAUCAAAAUAGUUAAGGCUAUGGAAUCUCAGGGUACUGUUUCAACAGGUGUCAAUGCAGAGGCAAACUAUGUGAGUAAUCAGGGGGUUUCUGAGGUAAUAGCCAAGGGAACCAAGGUCGGAACUUCUAUGACAAGCUUGAUUAUAAAGAUAGGGAGCAGGGACACUGGAGAAAUAAUAAUGACAGAAGUGGUUUGUACGUUCCUAUUGGAAGUAGGGAUGCUGCAACAACUAGCUCUGGCAAGAUGUCUAUGGAGGAUAUGAUGGAAAAGUUGUUGAAGGGAAUUGAAGCUACCAACUCAGGAGUAACUACUAUGAAGAGUGAAUUCUCUACCCUCAGUCAGUUGGUUAGCUCAGACUCUGCUUCUAUAAAGCAGUUGGAGCAGCAGAUGAACCAACUUUCUACUACACUAAACUAGAGAAAAACUGGUACUUUACCUAGUGAUAUGGUUCAGAACCCGUGAAAUAAUGGUUCGUGUAUGGAGAUUACCACUCGGAGUGGUAAGUUGUUAUGUGACCCCUUUAUGGGAAAAUUUAUGGAAAAUAAGGUAAGUAUUGAUGAACCCGAAGAAAGUAGUCCAGUGGAGUCUAAGAAGCUGGAUGGUUUUGUUGAUAUUUCAGAUAAAGAUGACAAGAAGGAGGAGGAAGUGGUGUUAAAUACUAUCCCUAGACCGCCACUUCCCUUUUCUCAAUGAUUGAAGAAAAAGGUCGAUGAGGCAAAAUUUGGCAAGUUCAUGGCUAUGCUCAAGUAAUUGACAGUUAAUGUAUCUUUGGUUGAGGAACUUGAGCAAAUUCCAGGCUAUGCCAAGUUCAUGAAAGAUCUCAUCACAAAGAAGAGUAAGGUCAGCAGUGAGUAGGUGGACAAUCUCCUCUAUUGUAGCGUGGUUUCCACAUGAUUCUUAGUGCAAAAGAAGGCCGACCUAGGUGCAUUCACUAUUUCAUGCAAGGUUGGGUCUCUAGAUGUUGCAAAAGCAUUAUGUAAUUUGGGUUCCAGCAUGAAUCUGAUGCCACUUGCUGUAUGUAAGAAGCUGGGUUUGGAAGAUCCAACACCUACUAACAUGCGACUGGUGAUGACAGAUAGGUCAAUAAAGCGGCCUGUUGGAAUUUUGCAUGAUGUGUUGGUGAAAGUAGCAGACUUUAUUCUUCCUACUGAUUUUGUGGUACUGGAUUGUGAUGUGGACUUUGAGGUACCCAUUAUCUUGGGAAGGCCACUCUUGGCAACAGAAAGAGUAAUAGUUGACAUGAAGUGGAAUAAGCUCAAGUUUAGGCUUGGUAAAAAAGAGGCAAAAUUCAAAAUGCAUCAACCCAUGUCACAACAAAAUGAUAUAAAUGUCUUCUCAAUCGUUGACGACUUCUAUAAAGAUGAAAAAGGGGUAUCAAUAGGUUGUCUUGGUGAAUUCUGAGUAAUCAAGAGAACCCAGCCGUGCCGUGACAGUAAAUCAGGCGCUAAUGGGAGGCAACCCAGAAUUUUUAUGUUUGAGAAAGUUUUUUUAUUUUUUAAAUUAGGAUUUAGUAUAGAGAAGGUGAAAAAAUGAAAAGGGUCAGCUGGAAGGUCAUGACGACAUCUGUGACAAGCCGUCCAACUGUGACAAGCUAUCACGAAUGCCGUCAGCUAGAUCAGACUUGAGAAAUUCUCUACCUACUAUUGACGACGAUCUUGAUGGGAUAUCACAACCGUGACAAGCCAUUACAAAUAGUCAUCAGCACAAAGCCUAAAAUCUAAAAACUAGGCAUAAUUUUAAUCAGAUCCGACCCGGCCUAAAUCGCGAGCCUUUUCAAAUUUCCAUCACUUUUAACUUCUUUUUCUUUAGUUAUUUUUUUUCUUAGUUAAAAUAGUUUCCAUUCUUGUAAAAACACUCUAAGCAAAACAAUUUUAAUUUGUGUAUGGUUUACACUUAAAAAUCAAGAACAUUUUCCUCCUUCACACUUUUUCUUGUGCGUGGCACUAGAUUAAAAGCUCCAUUACUCUACUUCAACUCUUCUUUGCUUGUGAUGUAUGGUGAAUGAAAGAUAACUCAAGUCCCCAAUAUGAUUGAACCAAGUUCAAACUUGGAAAAUAAAUAAAAUCAUACCUAGGGUUUGCUGUGCAAGCCCAAGGUUUGAAAAGAUAGUCCAUAAUUCGAAUUUAAGUAAAUCUUGAACAAAAAUGGGGACCAAAAAUUCAAUUAAAGUUAAAAAUAGAUUUUGAUAUGUGUGACGACAACCAUAAUAGGAUAUCACAACCGUGACGACCUAUCAGGAAUGUCGUCAAGCUUUGAAAAAUUUAAAGUGGUUCUGUCUAGAGCUGACAGCAUUCGUGACAGGCUAUCACAGUUGUGAUUGUCUAUCAUGAAUGUCAUCACAAAAUGGUAAGAAUUGCUGGGUUCUGUCUGAGGUUGGCGACAAUUAUGACAAGCUGUCACAGUUGUGAUGGCUUAUUUGGAAUUGGCGUCACACUUGGGGCCUGAAACAUAAAUGAGCUUAAAUUAUAAAUGUACCUGUGUUUGUGAUCUUUAAGGUUGACUAAUGUUCUUCUAAUAUUUCUAGGUACUCUAAAAUGGCACAAAAAAGAAAGAGUCCCAUAGAACUAAAGAAAGCAGCUAAAGAUGAUGUACAUCGUAAGCUCCUCAAUAAGGAAUUUGACUAUGAGGAGGAGGAACCCUUGCUCAGAAAGCUAAAGAAGAAGUAGAGUCCAAAGAAAACUCCACCACCUCCACCAAUUGAGGUGAAGGACAGUGAUGAUACUGAGUCGACCACAGUUUCUGAGCAGAAGGGGUCUAAAAAAGGUGAGUCUGAACAGCAUGAGUCUGAAUAUGCUGAAGUUGAUAAAGAUGAUCAAGAAGAAUUUGAAGAAUCUAAGUCUGAAGAAACAGCUUCCAUGUUCCCAUCCACUGAGCAACAAGAUGAUAAAGAGUCUCCACCUCGGAGGACUCUUAUCAAAUGUAAGAGCCCAGAAGUGAGGAACAAUGCUAGAUGGCAAAUCCCUAGAGCUGAAGACAUCUAUAUUGCUGGGUUGAAAAGAGCUGAUAGAAGGAAUGUGAAGAGGCUAAUCCAAGAAGAAAAGAUGAUCAUCAUGAAAGGGUUGAGCAGAUACCCUGAAGUGGAGAAGAAAUUCAAAGAAUACGACUUAGGACGGAUUACAGAAAGGGGAGGUUCAUUUUAGCCUACACUAGUUUAGGAGUUCUACGUGAGUUACCAAUCCCAGUUGGAGAAUAUGUGCAAACUAGGUGACAAAGUAUCAGAUCAACCUCUUCUAGUGAGAGUUUAGGUGAGGGGUAUAAGCAUUAAUGUUUCGAUUAGAGCCAUCAACAGAUUCUUGCACAACCCUGACUUCAUGCCUCAGGACACCACAUCAUUAUUUUAUGCUUGAAUAAAGAAUAAGGACAAACAACGUCUUUAGUUGGCCAACAUCAUCACUGAUGGAGAACCGGCUUGGGUGACAAACCCAAAUGAGAGAAUCUAUAAGUCCUCGUUGACUUAGGAGGCAAAAUUUUGGUGGGGCAUAGUGCGAGUUUGGCUAAUGCCUACUGAGGGAGACAAUAUUUUGGGUAAUGACUGGGCUAUUUUGGUAGCAAGUUUGGUGUAGCAGCUUUUCUUAAACAUUGGGGAAAUCAUUGCGGAUGAGAUGAAGAUCAGGAUGUCGAGGGUCGACACUGCUUAUCCUAUUCUUUGUCUUAUUACAGAGCUAUACAGAGCUGCUGAGGUGCUAAAUAUUAUGGGAGUUGACGAAGAUGUUCGUGCCCUGAAGACUCACAACCCCAUCCAGUUUCAUGAGAUUCAGUCGGGACUUAGACUUGACAGGGGGCCAGAGGUAGUAGCAGAACCACCGAUUACAGAUGUAGGAGCAGCACCUCAGGUCAAUGUACAGGAUUCUUCAGCAUAGGCAGCUUCAGUGUCUGAGACUGAAGCCAAUCCCUCAGUUCCUCCAGCAGCAACAGGUUUGGUAUUUUAUCCUAUUGAUAUCAGGAAGGUGGCUAAGCAAGCAAAGUGGUGGCCCAGCUACAUGCCUUUGCCAAACAAUUUAUUACUGCUGUGGACAAAAGAAUCAAGGUUGCACUAGAGCCUUUUAUGACAUUGCCUGUGCAAGUUGCAGAUUUAGAGAAUAGAUUCGAUGCCCGGGCAAAAGAGAUGACAGGUGCUAAUCUUGCUAUAUUCAGGGCUGCGUUGGAUAAGGUUAAGGAUGAGGUUGGGGUGCUACAGCAGCACUAAAUAUGAUACCAAAUUCCUAUACUUGAUCUCACUGUAGACUCCUUGAAGAAAAAGAAGAAAUUCCUAUACUUGAUCUCACUGUAGACUCCUUGAAGAAAAAGAAGAAAAAAGGGGAAAAGAAAGGCAAGAAUAAGAAAGAAGAGCCAGAUAGUGAAGAAGAAAGAAAAAUGAAGAAGAAGGCAAAGAAGAAGAAAGAAAAGAAAGAGUUAAAAAAGGCAAAAUUUGAGAAUAUGACUGAUAAUAAGAAAUAAGAAACAGCCAUUCGAGCUAGGGAUGUAGGUGCUUCAUCUAGCCAGGCUCCGACCACCGCCAGGCCAGAUACUUCUAAUGGGGAGAAGACAAUAGAUGAUAUAGUAGCAGGGUCGAAGACCUAGGAUCCACGUGCUUGACUGUCUUCAGGUAUACCCUAACCCUUAGUGCAUUUUAUUUUUGAUUAUUAAGUUGAGGGUGUAGGGUAAAUUAUUGUUGUAACAUAAUCUGUACAUAAUUAGGAGUAGUAUAAGUACUUGAGGUAGUUGUCUUAUUUUGUGAUUUAUGAGUACUUCUCCUGUGGUCUGAUUUAUUAUGUACUAUGUGAAUUGCAUCUGUUGUGACUACUGUAUAUCUUUUUGUGGCAUUAGUAUGGCAAAUGAAUGACUUGUGUUAAACAAAUGCAUGAACCGAAUAACUAGUGAUAUGUUAGAUACUUGUGUGCCAUGUGUGUGUAAGGUCUUGCUCAGUUCCUGUUGUGCUUUGAAUCUAGAACUUCCCGGUUAGUCAUGCCACGGUCAUCGGAUAGGCGUUAGGAAAGGAUCAUAGGCCAUUUUUGCAUAUUAUCCCACUUUAGCCUAAAUGACCUUCCCAAUGUAAAUAAUAUCCCUUGCUCUCCCUUUGACCCUAAAUAGCCUAUUUUUUUUCUUGUGCACCUUUUACCUUCCCGUUUAUAUCACAAUGAACCUGUCUUGGCCCUGGUCCACCUUGACUUAGGCAAAUAACCUAAGUUGAGGGUGGCUAUUAUAGGGGUGCGUGAUGCAAUCUAUGUAUGAAGAGAGAUAGAAUGAGAAGGAUAAAUAAAAAUUUAGGUGUGGUAAAAAAAUAAGAAAAAAGAAAAUUGUGUGAAAAAUAAUAAAAAUAUAAUCAGUUAAUUGAAAAGACCGCAUCCAUCUUGAGCACGCAUGAUCAAUAAAAGAGGGAAGAAAAGAAGGUUAAGAGUUGAAACGCCUAGGGUCUAAUGCAGUGUCAAGGAGGCUUAGUCACUUUGAAAUAUCCAUGAAUAUCAUACUAGCCCCUAGCCUAUGUUACAAGCUUAAGAAAAGCCCUAUAGUGAUCCUAACUUACCUGUUUGAAGACUUGGGUACUGAAUAUAAGGGCAAGCCUAUGGAAUUUGAUGCGCAAUAUUGGAACUUCGUUCUGAGAGUGAGUCUUAUGUUUAUCCUUGUGUGUAUAAAUUUUUAUAUGAGUGAAAAAGGGAUUUCUUUGUUGUGAGGGCAUACUAGGUAUGUUUCUAAUCACUAUCUUAUUCGGAUAGUGUGAUUUGGGUAUGUGCUAGGUUGUUAUUGCUAAAAUUUUUGCCAUAUCUUGAUCUUUGUGAGUUGCAUGGGUGUUUUCAAUAAUAGACACAGUUGCUCUUACUUUGACUGACCUUGGAGAUGGUGCAUGUAUUCUAAACUGAUAUGAGUAGUUAGCUGCCAAAUUGUACUUUGUAUACACUUAGUUAUGCUAAGGUUGCUUGAGGAUAAGAAAUUGUUUAAGUUGAGGGUGUUGAUGUGUGAGCUCAUGCUAACACAUUUGAAGAUUUUAACUUUAAAUAAUUGCAAAGUCUUGAACAACUUUCGUCGUUUUUGAUUAGUUUACAUUGGUUUUGCAGUAAAAGUAGAGAAGAAGGAGAACCACAAAUAAAAGAAGAAAAAAGUAUGAGAUCAAAAGCAAAUGAAGAGCUAAGUGUGGCUGAGACAUCCAUGACACGUCUUCAUCCUGGUGAUAGGAUGUCAAGGAUGUCGUCAAACUAAAACAGAAGAGGGGAGUUGCAGAAAGUUUUAUGACGACCUUCAUGACAUGCAAUCAAGAUCCUGAUAGGCCGUCACUGUAGUCAUCGACCUUAGGCAGUAGAAGCUGAAUUUGCAGAGAAGCUAACGACGUCCAUGACAGGCUGUCAAAAUCAUGAUAGGCCAUCACAACCGCCGUCAUCUAUUUCAAAGAACAUAUGAAACUUUAAUUUUAUUUCCUUAUUUACGGUUAACUAUUUAAAUCCUUAUUUUAGGGUUUUCCUAUUAUCUAUCAAUUAAUUGACAUAUCCUACAACAUACGACUUUUUCUUCUCUCUCUCUCUCUCUCUCAAAGAUAAAUAUUUUGGUGGUUUGCCUUGUGAUUCAAUUGAAAGAACACUUUUGAUUUCCUUCAUUACUGUAAGUUAAUCCUUUCAAUCAUGAAUUCAACUUGUGUGCUUAUUUCCUGCAUCAUGAGUAGCUAAACACUCUUAAUCUGGGUUAUGCAAUCUAGGGUUAGGUCAUGAUAAGGUGUUGAUUAAUUACUCAAAGUUUAAUAGGGGUUAGGAUUUCUUGAUAAUUCUGUUAUUCUAACUUAUGUCUGUUAGUUGCAAACAAUAGGCGUACCUACUUUGGUUUGCUUGAGAAAAAAAUCAUAAAAAGUAGGAAGUGAAUUAUUGAUAGGGACUCAAAAAGGUUUCAUUUAAUAAUCAGCGCUGUAACAAGGUUGAUUAACCUAAGGUAAAAUCUGGGUAGUGAGUUAUGAUUCUCGAAGUCCGAGAGGAUUAGGAAAUUAGACGCUUGAAUAGAUCGAGAGACCUUCGAGCUUAAUAUCGAUAGAGAUAGCUUGUCAUCCUAACUACCGUGAGAACCUUGAGUUAUUUGUAGCAUCUGUUAUAUACCAUAAACCCUUGUGAACAUAAUCUUGGUUAUUUCAUAAAAUAUUGAUUAGAAACAUUAACCUCAAAGUGACUAACAAUUGUCUGAGAAAUUUAAACCCCCAUUUCAGGAAACAGUAAACUACCAGUGAAUUAUUUCGUAAAUAACUUGAGUUCACACCCUAUUCCCUGUGGGAUUCGACCCCAACCUAGUUGGGUUUUAUAUUGGCAAUGAUUACUUACACCCGUUCAAGAGUGUAGUUUGAGGGUUAUCAUGAAUUCUUCAGCAUUUUUCGAAUCUAAGUUUGAGGAAAUCUACAGGAGUUCCUAAACAGUGUUUAGAAAAUGACUGAGAUCAUCGGUGUCACUUCGAGUGAAAGUGCUGAUUUGAUUGACUACCAAUUACAAGGAGUGGAACAUACUUAGCUUAAGUGGUGAAAGAAGGACAAGGGUGUUGAAGCAAGGCUUAUAGAGUGGAGGCCUAAGUUCAAGAGUUCAUCAACUUGAAGCAGAGUAACAUAAGCGCGAGGUAGUAUUUGUUCUAGUUUAUCAGGUAUGCUUCAAAUGUAGUGGCAGAUUCCAGGGCCCAAAUAAGUAAGUUUGUAUUUGGUGCUUCAAAGAAUGUAGUCAAGGAGUGUAGGAUGGCUAUGUUGAUUAAGGAGAUAGACCUAUUAAGAUAGAUGGUUCAUGCUCAGCAGAUUGAGGAAGAGACGCCCUAGGAGAAGGAAAGAGAAAAUAAGAAGGCCAGGACCGAUAGUUUCAAUUUCUCUCAUCAAAGGUCAAAUAGUGGGAAUCUUCUCACUUCUACCAAAGAUCUUCAGCCCUAGCACUAUAGGUAUCGUUCUCAAUUUUGAUAGAUAUCUUCAUCCCUAGCCCUGUUAUCAGCUAGUGCUUUAGUGCCUAAAUUCUGAUAGGAUACUCGUGAUAGGGAAUCAAGAUCUAAGUCCCAGGAUAGCUUAAAUAGUGGUUGCACCAAUCUAGUUUGCAUAAGAAGUGGUAUGAACCACAAAGGUGGGUGCAUGGUAGGUAGAGAUACUUAUUUUAGUCAUGGCAAGUCAGGCCACCGGAUAAGAAAGUGCCCUGUGAUUGCACAAAGAGGUAGGAAUAAUCGUUAGGAGGGACAGACUAAAUGUUCAACAGUUUAAGCAGGUCGCUCAACUCAGCAGGGUGCCAUUUUUAGCACAACCAGUAAACAAUAUCAGAAUCAAAUUUAUGCCCUUCAGACUCGACAUAAGCAGAAGGGUUCUCCUGAUAUAGUUACUGGUACAUUACAAGUCUUUCACAUUCAUGUAUAUGCGUUAUUAGACCCUGGAGCCAUACUUUUCUUCAUAACUCCCUAUAUAGAAGUCGAUUUUGGUAUCAGUUCUAAAAUCCUUGAAGAUCCCUUCUCAAUUUCUAGUCCAGUCGGUCUCUCUAUUAUAGCCAGAUGGGUAUACAAAAAUUGGUUAGUCACAGUAUCUCAGAAAGUCACUUCAGCUGAUCUUAUAGAGUUAGAGAUGACCGACUUUGAUGUCAUCCUUGGCAUGGAUUAGCUCUACUUUUACUAUGCCUCCAUUAAUUGUAAAAAUAGAGUAGUCAAGUUUCAGUUUCUUAAUGAGCUAGUCCUAGAAUGGAAUGGUUGUACCUCAAAGCCCAUAGGUCGGUUUGUCUCCUUUCUUAAGUCAAGGAAAAUGAUUUCUAAAGGAUGCAUCUAUCAUCUUAUUCGAGUCAAAGACUCAAGGUUUGAAACCCCAAGUCUUGAGUCUGUUUUGAUAGUGAAUAAGUUUCCAAAAGUUUUUCCUAAAGAUCUACCCCAGUCCCUCCCGAGAGAGAAAUUAACUUCAAAUAAAUCUCCUUUUAGACGCCCAGCCUAUCUCAAUUCUACCUUACAGAAUGGGGCUAGAUAAUCUUAAGAAAUUGAAAUAACAAUUGAGAGAUAUCCUUGAUAAGGGUUUCAUAAGGCCUAGUGUCUCUCCAUGGGGUGAUCCACUUCUCUUUGUGCUCAAGAAAGAUGGAUCUUUCAGAAUAUGCAUCGAUUAUCGUCAAUUGAACAAAGUCACAAUCAAGAAUAAAUAUAGUCUACCUAGGAUUGAUGACUUGUUCGACCAACUUUAGGGUACAAAUUAUUUCUCUAAGAUAGACCUUAGAUUUGACUAUUAUCAGCUUAGAGUCAGAGAAUGUGAUAUUCCAAAGAUACCCUUCCGAACUCGGUAUGGUCCUAAUAAAUGCUCCUGUAGCUUUUAUGUACUUGAUGAAUAAGGUGUUAAAGUAGUACCUAGAAAUAUUCAUUAUAGUCUUCAUAGAUGACAUUAUCGUCUAUCAUCAUAGUAAGGAUGAGCAUGCAAACCAUUUAAAGAUUGUUUUACAGACUCAAGGAUCACCAGUUAUUCGCUAAGUUCAAUAAAUAUAAAUUUUGGCUAAAAUAAGUAGCUUUCCUUGGUCACAUUAUUUCUAAUGAUGGUAUUCGAGUUGAUCCCCAAAAUAUCGAGGCAGUAAGGAACUAUCUUAGACUUAUUUCUCCCUCAGACAACAGGAGUUUCUCGGGUCUAUCUUAUUACUAUAGGAGGUUUGUUGAGGGAUUUUCUUCUAUUGAUUCCCCAUGUCUAGAGUGACUCAAAAGAAAGUCAAUUUUUGUGGUCCAAUUCUUGCGAGAAGAGUUUUCAGGAGUUGAAAACUUAACUCAUAAAAAUAAUUAUAUGACCCAUGAUCUUGAGUUGGUAGAAGUUGUAUUUGCCUUAAAGAUUUGGAGGCAUUACUUUAUGGGGUUCAUGUAGAUGUGUUUACUGAUCACAAAAGUCUUCAGUAUGUAUUCACUCAGAAAGAUCUAAGCUUCAUCAGAGAAGGUGCCUAGAGCUAUUAAAUAAUAGUGUGUUGUAUCACCUGAGUAAGGCCAAUGUUUUGGCCAAUGCCCUUGCAGAUUGUGUAUGGGUAGUAUUGCUCACAUUAUGGAUGAAAACAAGGAUUUAGUUUGUGAAGUCCACUAGCUUGCUAGAUUGGGAGUUUGGUUGCUUGAUUCGAUCAAAGGUAGUAUUUAGGUUUAGAAUAGUUCAGAAUCUUCUUUGGUUGCGGGGGUAAAGGAAAAUCAAGAUAGUGAUCCUAAUUUACUUAGGUUGAAGGAUGCAGUUCAGAAUCAAAAGGUUGAGGUUUUCUCCCAAAGAGGAGAUGGUGUUCUGUGUUAUCAGGAUAGGUUAUGUAUUCUGAAUAUGGGUGAUUUGAGAUAGCAGAUAGUAGCAGAAGCUCAUGGUUCGCGAUAUUUUAUUCAUCUUGGAGCCACUAAGAUUUACUGUGAUUUUUGGAAUUCUAUUGGAUGAGUAGUAUAACGAAAGAUAUUGCGGAAUUUGAGGCUAAGUGUCUAAAUAGCCAACAGGUUAGGGUUGAGGACUAGAGGCCUAGUGGUAUGGUUUAGGAAUUCAGCAUUCUCACCUAGAAGUAAGAAGUGGUGAAUAUGGUCAUCAUCACAGGGCUACCUUGUACUGGUCACUAGUAGGAUUCCAUUUGGGUUAUUGUAGAUCAAAUGUCUAAGCUCAUAUUUUGUUAGUUAGUACUUUCGACUCAACUUUAGAUUAUGAUAGACUCUAUCUUAAAGAGUUGGUGAAGUUUUAUGGAGUCCGUUUGACCAUUAUUUUAGAUAAAGGUACAAGGUUUACCUCUCAUUUUUGGAAGGCUUUUCAAAAGGGUCUUGGUACCUAAGUUUACCUUAAUACAGCUUUGCACCUUUAGAUUGAUGGCUAGGACGAGAGGACCAUUCAGACCUUAAAGGACACAUUGAGAGUUGUGCAAUCAAUUUCAAGGGUAGAUGGGAUUUUCACUUGCCUUUGAUUGAGUUUGCCUAUAAUAAAAGUUUCACUCCAGUACUCAAAUGACCCUAUUUGAGGCAUUCUAUAAUAGGAGGUGUAUAUCUCUCAUUAGUUCAUUUGAGGUUAGUGAAGCUACUUUGAUAGGGCCAGAUUCAAUGCAUGUGGCAAUGGAGAAGGUUCAGAUGAUUAGAAAAAGGCUGAAAAUAGCCCAAAGUUUUCAGAAAUACUAUGCAAAUGUGAGGAGAAGGUAGCCUGAGUUUGAUGUUAGUGACCUUUUCUAUUUAAAAAUUUCACCCAUGAAAUGGGUAAAGAGGUUUGAUAAGAAAGGAAAGCUCAGUCCUCGUUUUGUUAGCCCUUAUAUGAUUUUGAUCCGGUAUAAAAAGGUAUUCUAUAAGUUGGAGUUGCCUAUAGAGUUGGCAUCAAUGCACCCAGUAUUCUAUGUCUCCUUAUUGAAGAAACACCUUGGUGACACGACUCAGUAGUCCCUUUAGAAAAGAUAGGCGUGGAAGGUAGUCUCUCGUAUGAAGAGGUCUCCAUUGAGAUCCUUGAUCGCAAGAUUCGUAGGCUAAGGAACAAAGAGAAAGAUUUAGUGAAGGUUUGGUGGAGAAACCAGUUACUUGGAAGACCAAAGCAGAUAUGAUGACUAAGUACCCCAUCUUUUCUCUUCAAACCCAGUCCCAGUUUGAGAUAAUAGCUUUCUUAAUUAAUUAAUCCUUUUAUUUCUAUCUUAGUCAUCCAACUAUCUUUAUGUAAUAGAAUGCAUUCAUAAAUCCAGUUCAUGCAUCAGUCAUAAGUUCAGAUGUUAGUUCAUGAUUCAGCUCGUAAACAUUCAGUGUGUGAUCUCAGUUUUCCCUAGCCUCUCAGCUAAGUCAGUUUCAUUCAAGGAUGAAUGAUCUCAAAGGGGAUAUAUUAUAAUACCCUAAGUUUUCAAUAUCUAAUCCCAUCAAAAAAUAGGCUAUUAAAGUAGUUUUUCCAAUUUCACAAGUCUCACCUUAAUACGAUGUAGCGGAAAAAAGUUAUAGAAAUUUUCCCUAAGAGUCUGUUAGGUUGCUAGUGGUAACAAUUCAGGCAAUGAAUCAUUACCAGUCGUAUUGAGUCAUAACCUAGACACAUUACCAUGGCAGUGAGUGACUUGGGGAUUCUACUUAGCGGUAACAAGUCCAACACACAACUCGUUAUCAUAUGUAAUGAGUCAUCAUGUGGACUCGUAGCCACACUAGUGAGGACCCCUAGAUUUCCAUCCAAGGGUAAAUAUUCUACCUCAUGACUCAUUAUCAGUGACAACAAGUCAUAGGGUGAACCCGUUACCUUAAAAUAGAGAAACCCAGAAAGUGAGUCUCAAAACACGACUACUCCUAACGGCUCAUGGCCAGACCUAAUGAGUCGCUAGGAAAGGGGUCAUUACCUUAUCAGUGAAGGCUCAUAACAUAGAAUCUCAGGUCAUGACUCAGAUCAUGACUCAUGACCAGAGGGUACGAUUUGUUGGCUGAGCUGUGACAAUUGGGACCAAAAUUCUUGCAUGAUUUUAAGGACUUUUUGGUAAAUUCCACCCCUUUAAAGCAAAAAACCAUGACGUUUAAGCCUUCAAAACAUCAGUUAUCAGGGGUAACAUUACCCUAACCUCUCAUAACUCAGAAAUCAUUCAAUAGAAAACAUAAGAAGUGAUUUCUUCUCUCAAAAGCUAAACUAGGGUUUACUAAGAAAGUUUAAGUUUCAUGAAGAUUUCUUCAAGGGGUUUGCUUUUAGGUAUGUGGGAUUUCAUCAAUGGGUCCCUUCGACUUAUUGAGUUCCAAGUAUUUCUCCAUUCUGAAGUAAAAUUUCCUUUCCCCUUAUUUUUGGGUUCCAGGUCAAAUAUGAGUUUUGUUCAACUCUUUCAAUUUAUUUUAUGUAUGAAUGAUGAAUACAUGUUUCCCCAUAAGAUUUAUGCCUCCAUGUGUCAAAUAAUUAUAAACUUCCAUAUCACUAUUCGUUAUUGAAAUAUUAAGCCUUAUUCAUAAAAUUCUCUACCAUGAUCAACUUUUAAUAUUAUCAUGUUUUGUUGUAUUAACCAUUGAUGGUGGGUUAUGAACACCUGAUAUGUAAGAACUUAAACAUGCAUCAGUUUACAUGUUCAUGAUUACUUCAGAUUAUGCAUACAUUGUUAUUUUCAGAAUGCCAUAGCUUGAGCAUAUCAAUAUCAGUCAUGUUUUAGUUAAACUUUAGUGUCACUAAAUUGGGAGUAAUACUUAGCACCGAGUGAAUGCGGGGAUGACGGAUGCCCCAUCAGUUAGGCAGAGAUCAUUAGUAUAAGUCCUUAUGUUCUAGAACUAUGACACCAUCUUAGGUUAUAAGGGGUCACCCAUCAGUUUAGGCUUGACACCUAGUCCUUCGGGACAUCAGUAUAGUGGAUCCACGCCAGCCAGUGUUGGUACCCUUCGCAAAGUACUAGCACCAUUCCAACUAGUGCUACAUGUUGGACACUGAUUAGCUCAGAUUGGUUUAUAUUGCUUAUUGUUAGAUCCCACAAUCCUCAAUUUAGUACUCAGAUUUUUACAGUUCAGUUUCGCAUGACCAAGUAUACAGUAUUCAGUCAUUUAGUUAUUGAGAUACCCAACAUAUAUUUGUACUUGGUCUUGCAUUCAAUUUUUAUGUUCAUGCAUUCAUGCUUAGUAUAUACGUAUAUUAUCUAGAUUUUUAUCUUGCAUACUUAUUAUAUUCAACAAACCGGUAUAAUACUUCUUUAUGCUAUAUUGUCUCAUAAUAUAGGUGUAACGCCCCCAAACAUUUCCUAGAUAAAUUUUGUCCCUAAAGUGUCAAGCUUUGGCUUCUAGAAUUAUUUACACUUAUUUCGCAGUGGAAUUCCAUAGAUUUUAACUUUUCAUUGCGUAGAUGACUGAAUAAGCUUUCCAUCGAUAUAAGAUUCGUCCAAAACAGACACUCGGUGAAGAAGUUAUGGCUAUUUUAUGUGCUAGUUGUAAAACAUUGUUAUUUUGGUGUUUAGCGCAUCACGGAGAUGGUUUAAUUAGCAAUUGUCAAAUUCUAGUGAAACCUUGUGAUAAAGGCGCAUUGCAGAGGAUCCCAAUUUCGCAUUUGUCAAUUUCCAGUGAGCCACCGGGAUAGUGGCGCAUCGCGGUGGCCCAUAAAAUCGGGCACUAGUUAUAUUUUUUUUACUCCAUCUCAUUAAGGGUAAAAUGGUACUUCUCCAACCCCUUAUCAUCUCUAACACGGGAUUUAAUCCCAAGAACACCAAAGUAAGAUUAUUUUCAUCAAAAUCUCUCAAGAAACUCCAUUAGGGUUUCAAACUAAAAAUCCUCGUAACUCAAGAUUCGGCCGUGACUUUUUGAAGAUAAUUAGACAUUUGGAAUCCCCAAUCCGUAAGCUUCAAGAAUCAUUCAUUAUUCUUUAAAAUAGAGGUACGCAUGGUUUUCCUACAAUCUCAUGGGCAUAGAAAUCAUGAUUUUAAGAAAGAAAUUUUCAGAUUUAUGAAUACAUUCAUGUUUUAGAAAUCUUGACGGUAUUGUUUUGGUCUUUUGACCUUUCCCACAUUGAUUAGAAAUUUUAUAUAUAUGUAUGCUUAUGUUUUAAGAUUGAUGAUUUAAUUGAGAGCAUGAAUUAUGUAAAAUCCCUCUCUUGUUUUGAUUUUCCUUUACUUAUCAUAUGCUAUAGAUGUUUUGAAUGUAUCCUUGAAAAACAUGGUUUAAAUUGUCUUGAAUUGUGUUAUGAUUGGAUUAAGAUUUCGAUUUCAAAAGAGAGGGUAUUUGUGUUGAUAAAUGUUUAAAAUAUUCAUAUAAGGAAAGAGUGCAGAAAGAGUGCAUGAUUUUGCCAAAAGCACAUGACCACCAUAUGUUUAAAGGAUAUUUGCAUAGUUUUGAUUUAUGCUUCAGAAUAUGAAAUGUCUUGUACUAUUUGCAUGUUUGGGUGGUAUGAGCUAUGUUUUAAUGAAAGAUCAUGCUUAUUAUAAUAUGUCUCAAAAAUAGGACUUGCAAGUCUUGGUAUGACGACACCAAUUCAGAUUAUGCCAUGAUAAUUUAGAACAGAAUAGAAUGCAUGCUUGAAAUUAGACUUUCAGAUUUUAAGAUUUAUAAUGAUGUAUGUUUUAGAAGUGGUUAAAACUGGGCAUAAAGAGACGUUAGGUGGUUUCCCGAAUGAGGCAUGAGUUCAGACAACUCAUUGCCCAAAACCGUGAUUUGUCGAUCCGGGUGUAUUAUAUUGCGCUGGUCUAACGUCUUGUGGUGUAUCAAAAAUAGAAACUCCAACCCUUGUAGCACACUCGGGUUGGGGGAUUCUCCGCCGAGUCAAUGGCGGAUUCCAUAUAGCCCGUGAGAUUUUAGAAUUGUAGGGGCGUACCACCUAACUCAGAAGUAAUACAAAGAUCAGACAGUGCAUUGACAAGAAUGACUUAUGAUUUUCAGAAAGUGCCCAUGUGUUUUUGAGAACUGUUUAUGGAUGAUGUUUUAACAAAUUGUUCUCCACUAUUUCACUUAUAAAAAAGUUUUAUUUUAGAUUACUUUGCGUACCAGUACAUCUGUAUUGACCCCACUCUUCCCUCCAGGUUCUGAGGCUCAGUCUAGGGGUCCAGAAAAGCAAUAGAUUUUAUCAGAUAGAGUUGUAGUGCCUAGUUAGUGAGCCUUCUUUAUUCCAGAAGGCCUAUUUAUUUUCAGACAACUAUUAUUAGAUAUGGUUUUCGUCUACUGGGGGGCUUGUCCUAGUUUCAGAUAAUUGUCAGAUUUUCAUGUAGUAGAGAUUUCACAGAUUGAGUCAGAUGUUAUUUAGAUGUAAUUGAUUUACAGUUUCCAUACUUAUGAUGAAUUCAGAAAUAAUUUUCAUAAAUAUCAAAAAAGGCAUAAAUGCCUACAGAAUAGCAAAUGGGGAAUAUAAUCUUUGGGGAAAGGAAAAAUAAAAUGCGAGGAAAACAAACUCACAAAGUUGACAAUAGAAAACACUAGUAUCCGAAUGAUCCCUUGUCGGCCUUCGCCUUCUUGGGUAAACCCACCUCAUGCCAUACACGAUACCUGUUGGUGAUCGGAUGUCUUCUACAAAAUUAAAGCUUCCAAGGAAAGACAAAUAUCCGAUAUGCAUUAUAAGGAUUUUACCGUCUUGCGCACUCAUAUAUUUCCACCAAUCGUUCGACUUAAUCAUUAUCUUGAAUCCUCUUAUGGGAUUGGUUAAUCCAUACCUACACAAAAGGAAACAAGGUAAGCUUUUCUCCCCACACCAAAUAAUGAUAUUGGAUUAGAUUUAUUGACACAUACUACUUCAACUUAUAAAUAUGAUUCACUGUGAUUGACUCAUGGUCACUAGACAUUGGGUAGAUUUUUUAAUGGACCUAAUGCCCCCUCUUAUAUAUAUCCCCCCCCCCCCCCCCCCCCCCCCAAUACAUAGAGGUUUUGGAUUCCCUAGUCUUAUGCAUAAAAAUGAUUUUGAUUUUGCUCUAUCCUAGAUAUCUAGAGUGAAUUUUGACCAGGUUUUCAAGUGGAUAACUUAGGUUUUGAAAUACAAAUAGUCAUCGGACACCUAACACAACAAUAAACUGUCAUACUUCCAACACUUUCAUUUGAAAUUAAUCAAUAAAGGCCACGACAACCGCGAAACUCCAAAAAUUUAAGGAUCAAUAAGUAAGUAUGUCAUGAAUGCAGAUGAUAGAUUAUCACAAGAUAUUACUAAUCUAGCAUAGUUAUUCAAAUAAGCUCAAAUAAAUCAAAUAGUUUAAAAAAUAGUUAGAAUCUUAAUAAAUUCCCUUGCAGAGUCAUCAGUUCUGUUUUAUACCUUUUCGAAUCGAAGUUGGAAAACAUGGGUCUUUGACUUUUAAACUAUUUCAAAACUUUAAAGAAAAUCUCAAAAUAAUUUAAGAAAAUACAGAGUCGCACACUUAAUUUUUAAGAAAAUAUCAAGAAAAAAAUAAAAAUAUUUCAAAAUUUCUAAACCAGAAAUAAAUCCUUUUAAGCAUAGAAACUGGGUAAGGAGAUUCACAUAAAACCUUGAGAAGAAUUUUAAGACACUCAACAAGCAUCCACAAAACGACUGACCAAUAGAUAAUUUGGCUGAUUUGCAAAAAUGACUAAUUUUAAAAGCUUGACUAACUUUGUAAAAUCUGAAAUUUAUUUGCAAAUAGGACAUUCAUUUCUUUCAAGUGAAAAAAGUAAUUUACCUAAAUUAAUGGAAGAUCUACUUAAACUAAUUUUCAAAUUAUAUAUAAUAUUCAAGAGAACACAUCAUUUUAUGAAGAAAAAGUUAGUUUAGUCAAAAUAGAAAAAAUGUUUUUCAAAAGGUGAAAAUUUUUGGAAAAAAUGUCAAAUUGAGACAAGUAUUAGAUUAAUUAUAAACACUUGAAUUUCAAGAGGAUUAUUUUAAUAUCAGAAAAAGUCACUUUAACCUAAAUAAAUCACUAAUUAUAUGAACAAAAGUAAAUUUCAUUUUUUUUUGGAAGGCUUACUCUAAAGGGAAAACAUAAAUAAACUUACUUUUAUUAACCUAAGAUAUUAGACUGUCACAAAUGAUAAAGAAAAAAAGGUUGAGAAAAUGGGUUUUGAAAUCAUUUGGACCUGCUAGACUUUAAUCCUCAAUUUUUCAUGAUCUUUUUAGUCCAUUUCCAAUUUUUUUUCCACCUUUGAUAUCAAUGUAUAUCAGCUCCCCUUUUGUAGCAUUUAGGGACACAUUUUUUCAACUUUGAUUUUUUACCCAUUUUUGGGCCUUGACAUUUGACUCAAUGCUAUUGGGCCUUGGACCAUCGAAGAUGCAAAAUGAGAUAGUCCGUUAGGACGCAGACAAAUAUCACAUGCAUCAAAUAAUAGAUAAGGAUUAGCACAUGGUGAAUAUAAUGUAACUUGAUGUUAACAUACUUUUGAAAUAAGCAAGAUCACAUGCGCAUAAAGUCACAGACUUUGCUUAGGAAAACUUUAUGCAUAACAAUGGAAGGUAAAGCUUAGUAGAUAAAAUACAUAAGUCCAUACUACAUUUAGUUGCAAAGAAGUAACAAACUAUUCAUAUUUGUCAUAUGUUUACAGAGAAGUGGUAGGCAUUAGAGGUGUACAAGAAUCGAACCGAUAAACCAAACCGAUAAAAAUGUUAUUGAUUUAUUGUUAUUGGGUUAUUGGAUUAACGAUUUUUUAAUGAUUUUAUAAAAAAAAAAAUUAUUGAGUUAUUUGUUCGGUUCGAUUUUUUCUUAUUGGGUUAUAAUAUAUAUAUAUAUAUAUAUAUAUAUAUAUAUGACUUAUUAUAUAUUUCUUAGAAUCUCUUUAAUUUCUACAAAUUAACAAACUUAUUAUUUCAAUUAUACAAACUCUUAAUUUCUCCCAACAACGUUUAGUUCAAACUUGAAUGUUCUAGUAAAUUAAAACACAUCAUGUAGGAUUUUUGGUGGCAACUAAAAUUCAAUUUUUUUUCAUAUUAGUUACCACUAAUUCUAUUUUAUGAAUAUUUUCUUAUCGGUUAAACCAAAAACCUAACCGUUAGGCAAAUAUAGAUUAUGCAGCCAUUUAGAAUUUCAUGUUAAUGUAAGGAAAAAUUCAAAAUAUACUUUGACAGGUUUUAAUACAUUCUAUUCGAAAAAUAAUGCAAAGAACUAAGAAUUGCCUUCAUUUUAACACCAGAGACAUCCAUGCACUAAAACCCAUUCACAAUUCUUGCUUAGAGUUCCCAGUGAUGAAAAUAUACCAUAGUGAAGAUAUGUUUCACCUUUGUGUUCUGAUCACAAAAAAAAGGGAAAAAAAAUCUGACUACAUGAAUAUUACUGCUGGAAGAGCAUCUAGAAGCAGGCUUGUGGUGAAGGAGAUGAAUAAUGUUCGAUAUUCAUUUACGUCCUCUUGCCCUAUUAAAGAAGAGAACUCAAGAGGCUUCAUCCCCUCCUUGAGAAAGACACUUAUUAGCUAAUUCAAGAGGUCCUUGGGGAAUUCUCAACUUAGAAAACACACUCAAGCUCCUACUUCAGUGAUAUAAAACAAUCAAACAAGAAUAUAAUUGCAAACGGACAAAUUGAUGUCUAUCCUUAAACAUUGUUAUGCUUCAAAACAUAUAAAAAUCUCAUUUUUUUUCACAUCUAAGACCUAUCUCAGUUCCAAAUAAACACAAAAAGGGAAAUCAUUUCAUACUUUACGCUACAAUUUCAAAGAUUUUUUACGGCAUCAAAACAUAUAUAUGUACGUAGGUUCAUACAAGACCAUUCCAAUUAUUUCGCAUAUAUGACCCCAAAUAGAGUUGCCAUGAUUCAACACAAGGGGAAACAGAUUAACAUGCAUAAUUACCUAUUCAUAUGGCUCAUACCAAGACAGGACUUAGCUAAGCGGCGAUAAUUUUUGAAAAUUAGCGUGGAAGUUUCAAACAAGUAGUAUGCAGGCCACUACUAUAUCACGCUACUGAAUUUAAAAGAAUUUGACAAGAUGUAAUGAAUAGCAAAAUCACUUAAAUUUGGCGCGAAACAAACAAAACCACAACCCAUAACAGAGAAGGUAAUUUAGACAAAACAAAUUACCUUUUCUAAAGCAGCACAUUGGGAAUACAAGUUUUCAGAGACGAAACUUCCACCGAAACUGUAUUAUCAAAUUUAUUUCACCAGAGUUCAAAUUCAGACUCGUCGAAGAUCCACAAUUUAUUUCCGAAAUUUGAAUAUAUUUCUUCGUGAGUUUUGGUUUUGUCCGAUAGGAGCAUGCGCCUCUCGAAUUUUUAAUUUUUUUUCCAAAAAUCACUCUUCCUUCAGCCUUUAACUCACUGCCAAUUUAUAUAUAAAAGAAAGGCGGGGCAUUUUGGGUGGAAACAAAGGUGUAGAUUAGGGACUUAUGUCUUUUUGGAUAAGGGUUUUUGAAAAUCGAAUUGAAUUCUACCUAAUUGAGCCACGUUAGUACUAUAGGGCACAAAAUCGUGGGCAAUUGGACACUUGCGAUUCAACAACAACAACAACAAACAACAACAACAAACCUAGUGUAUUCCCACACACUUGCAAUUCAAUUAGGGUAAAAUAAAAAUUUGGGAAUUUGGGAAAAGUCCAAACCAAUGAGCAUGGUUCAUGUAUGUACUGUAUAGUACUAGAUUGCUGGAAUUUUGCUACACCUUAAGGGAUUUGAAUGCUGGCUUCGACGAGGUGUUGCAUUCCUAGAAGCUUUGAGGGAAUUAAAUGGAGUUUCUGACAAAACCCCAUGAGGUUUUGAUGGUGUUGGGGCAUCGUUUGAGGCUGUUGUUUGAUGGAAAUGUUGGGUUGUAUGGUGAGAUGUUGUUUGUAUGUUUUUGCCGAUGUUGAAGUUGUUGUCGGUGUAUGCUGGAUAAGUGGAGGAAUAAUGUUUGGGCCGGAUCGGAUCAGGCGAGUGAUGAGGUUUUAAAUUUAGGUUAUUUAACCGAUAGCUCA